This 419-nucleotide unclassified non-coding RNA is filed under the name Fascaplysinopsis reticulata. RNAcentral's name for it is "sequence contains ITS1, 5.8S rRNA gene, ITS2". The stretch from base 291 to 419 matches the Rfam family "5.8S ribosomal RNA", at positions 1 to 129 of the family's 154-position model. Lineage: Eukaryota; Metazoa; Porifera; Demospongiae; Dictyoceratida; Thorectidae. The record is from RNAcentral.
UAGGUGAACCUGCGGAAGGAUCAUUAACAAAUCCUAGCCGUUGCCCCCUGUGGGGUAAUGGUGAAACACACCGUGCACUGGCGACCGGAGAUGGGAGCAAAGUCUCCACUCGGUUGAAAGGAGGUGCGCACCCGGUGUUGAAUCAGGUGGUGCACUUAAAUCAAUGGGAAUCAUUUUCAACCGCCCGCUGGGCCUCUAACCGAGUGCUCCCAUCUUUGGUUUUUUGUUUUUGACCUUUGUCGACUUGUAUCAUGUUUUGGUAUGCUGCUGUGCAUUAAAAAGUAAUUGACAACUUCUGACGGUGGAUCUCUUGGCUCGUGCAUCGAUGAAGAACGCAGCAAGCUGCGAUACCUAGUGUGAAUUGCAGAAUUCAGUGAAUCAUCGAGUCUUUGAACGCAAAUGGCGCUCCCGGGGUCUCC